UACGUAGGGGGCAAGCGUUGUCCGGAUUUACUGGGCGUAAAGAGCGUGUAGGCGGCCACGCAGGUCCGUUGUGAAAACUGGAGGCUCAACUUCCAGCCGUCGACGGAAACCGUGUGGCUAGAGUCCGGAAGAGGAGAGUGGAAUUCCUGGUGUAGCGGUGAAAUGCGCAGAUAUCAGGAAGAACACCAAUGGCGAAGGCAGCUCUCUGGGACGGUACUGACGCUGAGAAGCGAAAGCAUGGGGAGCGAACAGG
This 253-nucleotide ribosomal RNA is filed under the name uncultured bacterium. RNAcentral's name for it is "partial 16S ribosomal RNA". It matches the Rfam family "Bacterial small subunit ribosomal RNA", at positions 524 to 776 of the family's 1533-position model. The record is from RNAcentral.